Molecule: non-coding RNA, 250 nt
Organism: Pelobates cultripes (western spadefoot toad)
Lineage: Eukaryota; Metazoa; Chordata; Amphibia; Anura; Pelobatidae
Source: the annotation of a GenBank genome assembly
UAAUGCUUUGCUCUGGAGGUACAUUUCCAGUUCAAGCUGCCCAACUGGUGAGAGCCCUUACAGAAAUCAUGGUGAUCAUAUAGCUUGUAUGUUCUGCUAUGCACCCAAACAUGUAUUUUGUAUCUUUAGCCUUGGACAUUUUAUAACUUGUCUGAUCUAGCAAUUGACUCCACUUAACAUCUGGAAGGUUUACAUAGUCAUUGAUCUCAAUAAGUUGUGAGGGGUUACCUGUGCACUUAACAGAAAAUAA